UACGUAGGGUGCAAGCGUUAAUCGGAAUUACUGGGCGUAAAGCGUGCGCAGGCGGUGAUGUAAGACAGAUGUGAAAUCCCCGGGCUCAACCUGGGAACUGCAUUUGUGACUGCAUCGCUGGAGUACGGCAGAGGGGGAUGGGAUUCCGCGUGUAGCAGUGAAAUGCGUAGAUAUGCGGAGGAACACCGAUGGCGAAGGCAAUCCCCUGGGCCUGUACUGACGCUCAUGCACGAAAGCGUGGGGAGCAAACAGG
RNAcentral lists this ribosomal RNA (253 nucleotides) under uncultured bacterium. Its description in RNAcentral is "partial 16S ribosomal RNA". It matches the Rfam family "Bacterial small subunit ribosomal RNA", at positions 524 to 776 of the family's 1533-position model. The record is from RNAcentral.